This 253-nucleotide ribosomal RNA is filed under the name uncultured bacterium. RNAcentral's name for it is "partial 16S ribosomal RNA". It matches the Rfam family "Bacterial small subunit ribosomal RNA", at positions 524 to 776 of the family's 1533-position model. The record is from RNAcentral.
UACGAAGGGGGCUAGCGUUGCUCGGAAUGACUGGGCGUAAAGGGCGUGUAGGCGGUUUGUACAGUCAGAUGUGAAAUCCCCGGGCUUAACCUGGGAGCUGCAUUUGAUACGUGCAGACUAGAGUAUGAGAGAGGGUUGUGGAAUUCUCAGUGUAGAGGUGAAAUUCGUAGAUAUUGGGAAGAACACCGGUGGCGAAGGCGGCAACCUGGCUCAUUACUGACGCUGAGGCGCGAAAGCGUGGGGAGCAAACAGG